Molecule: transfer RNA, 73 nt
Organism: Candidatus Nasuia deltocephalinicola str. NAS-ALF
Lineage: Bacteria; Pseudomonadati; Pseudomonadota; Betaproteobacteria
Rfam family: tRNA
About the family: Transfer RNA (tRNA) molecules are approximately 80 nucleotides in length. Their secondary structure includes four short double-helical elements and three loops (D, anti-codon, and T loops).
Source: Rfam
GUAGUUGUAACUUAAUAGGUAAAGAAUAGAAUUGUGGUUUCUAUUGAUAUGGGUUCAAACCCCAUCGAUUACC